RNAcentral lists this ribosomal RNA (468 nucleotides) under uncultured bacterium. RNAcentral's name for it is "partial 16S ribosomal RNA". It matches the Rfam family "Bacterial small subunit ribosomal RNA", at positions 28 to 507 of the family's 1533-position model. The record is from RNAcentral.
GACGAACGCUGGCGGCGUGCUUAACACAUGCAAGUCGAACGGAAAGGCCCUGCUUUUGUGGGGUGCUCGAGUGGCGAACGGGUGAGUAACACGUGAGUAACCUGCCCUUGACUUUGGGAUAACUUCAGGAAACUGGGGCUAAUACCGGAUAGGAGCUCCUGCUGCAUGGUGGGGGUUGGAAAGUUUCGGCGGUUGGGGAUGGACUCGCGGCUUAUCAGCUUGUUGGUUGGGUAGUGGCUUACCAAGGCUUUGACGGGUAGCUGGCCUGAGAGGGUGACCGGCCACAUUGGGACUGAGAUACGGCCCAGACUCCUACGGGAGGCAGCAGUGGGGAAUAUUGCACAAUGAGCGGAAGCCUGAUGAAGAGACGCCGCGUGCGGGAUGACGGCCUUCGGGUUGUAAACCGCUUUCGCCUGAGACGAAGCGUGAGUGACGGUAAUGGGUAAAGAAGCACCGGCUAACUACGUG